GUAGGUGGCAAGCGUUGUCCGGAAUUAUUGGGCGUAAAGCGCGCGCAGGCGGUCCUUUAAGUCUGAUGUGAAAGCCCACGCUCAACCGUGGAGGGUCAUUGGAAACUGGGGGACUUGAGUACAGAAGAGGAAAGCGGAAUUCCAAGUGUAGCGGUGAAAUGCGUAGAGAUUUGGAGGAACACCAGUGGCGAAGGCGGCUUUCUGGUCUGUAACUGACGCUGAGGCGCGAAAGCGUGGGGAGCAAACAGGAUUAGAUACCCUGGUAGUCCACGCCGUAAACGAUGAGUGCUAAGUGUUAGGGGGUUUCCCGCCCCCUUAGUGCUGCAGCUAACGCAUUAAGCACUCCGCCUGGGGAGUACGGCCGCAAGGCUG
Molecule: ribosomal RNA, 372 nt
Filed under: uncultured organism
Description: partial 16S ribosomal RNA
Rfam family: Bacterial small subunit ribosomal RNA
Source: RNAcentral